AGCCAAUCACAGGCAAAAUCCGAGAACACGUGACUGACCCGGAAGCCCAACGCUGUUGGUCGCAGGCGUCCUCUGUGCUUUUCUGAGGAGUUUUACGUUUUCGCCCUUUGAUCGCAUUCCCGCCACCUGGGUGUGUCCGCUCCGCUCUUCUCACUCACACACACACACGGCCUGAGGAGCGGCGCAGACACACACACAGGCUCUCUAGUUUGCACCUUCCCAAAACACGGUACGUUUAUCGACUGCUGACUUCUGUACGUUCCUAAUCCUAACACU
Molecule: long non-coding RNA, 276 nt
Organism: Scleropages formosus (Asian bonytongue)
Lineage: Eukaryota; Metazoa; Chordata; Actinopteri; Osteoglossiformes; Osteoglossidae
Source: Ensembl